UCCAACUUUGUGAACUUAAAAACGAGAAUAUGACAAGCCCUUAUAAGUGGUGCCUCCUUUAAUCAACACAUCACCGGAUCCCCAAACUAAAUCCAGAAAAGAAGAGGUAAAACAAACUCAACAUUUUUGACGAAAAGAGAACACAACAUAGUAUUCAAAUUUUCCAGAACAAUCACUUAUUCAAGUUCUGGCCAUGGAUUGCAGCACUCAAACAUACACAUAACAUCGCUUGCCAUAAGCCUAGUCUUGCUUCGCAGCUACGGUGGGAACAUCCGAUCCUUUGGCUGGGAUCUCAUGAACCACCUCGACCGGCCUCUUCUUUUGCUGUCCUUGCCCCACCGACGACCGGUAGUCCACCGUCUGCACUGUCUUCGUCUCCUUCCCUCCUGCAUCCGGCGGAGUUUUGGUGGCGGCGGUGGCCGUCGCAGUGCCCUGCGAUAAUAUGUAGCAAGCUCAACGACAACCAAAUUAAAAGGCAUAGAU
Molecule: long non-coding RNA, 483 nt
Filed under: Elaeis guineensis (African oil palm)
Lineage: Eukaryota; Viridiplantae; Streptophyta; Magnoliopsida; Arecales; Arecaceae
Description: long non-coding RNA (EGUI_LNC032613)
Source: RNAcentral